Molecule: non-coding RNA, 745 nt
Organism: Bubalus bubalis (water buffalo)
Lineage: Eukaryota; Metazoa; Chordata; Mammalia; Artiodactyla; Bovidae
Source: the annotation of a RefSeq genome assembly
UUUAGUUAAGUAUCUUGCAGUGAAAAUGUCCCAACAAGAAGAGGAAGCAUCAUGAAGAGGCUAGCAGGCACUGUGCUGGGGCUUUUGUUUGCCCAGGUUUGCUGUGUGCGAGGGGUGGAUGUGGAGCAGAGUCCCCCAGCCCUGAGUCUCCAGGAGGGAGCCAGCUACACGCUUCAAUGUAAUUUUUCCAGUUCCUCAAGGAGUGUGAAUUGGUAUCUUCAGAACUCUGGGGGCCACCUCAUACAGCUGUUUUACAUUCCUUCAGGGACAAAGCAGGAUGGAAGAUUAAUGGCUACCACAGUCCCUAAAGAACGCCACAGCUCACUGCACAUUUCCUCUUCGCAGACCACAGACUCAGGCACUUACUUCUGUGCUGUGCAGCACAGUGCUCCCCAGGCACCUGCAGCCUGUAUUCAAACCUGCAGCCAAGGCUCCAGCCACACCUUGCUAUGUAGAUGGAACACAUACAAACAAACACACACACAUCAGUGCGUGCAUAACAAGUCUUAAUAUAUUUAAUAAAACUGAAAUUAUACAGAAUUUAUUCUUUGACCAAGAUGGAAAUGAUAUAGAAAAUCAAGUGCAAAGAGAUGUCUCUAGAAACUCCAAAAUAUUUGCAUUAUAUGCACUAACUUUAAAAUAACUCUAGUUUAAAGAAACAAUUACCAUGGCUAUUAGAAAAUAUUUUGAAAGUAAAUAUUGUGAGAGCACAUUAUAUAAAUAUGUAUGAGAUGGAGCUCAAAUA